Molecule: long non-coding RNA, 220 nt
Organism: Papilio polytes (common Mormon)
Lineage: Eukaryota; Metazoa; Arthropoda; Insecta; Lepidoptera; Papilionidae
Exons: 3
Source: RefSeq, a predicted model, not a curated record
GGUGAUGCGACGCCGGAACUCUAUGAGGUGAUGAUGGACCGAGAAGCGAUGAUGAACCUCGUAGCUCAAUCGUCUGACAAUCACUUGCGGUUCAUCGACGCUCGCGANGACCUGCUGAUGACGCGCGCCAACAACUGGCGAGACCAUCUUGUGUCCGGGACUAAUGACAAUGAAAUAAAAAGGAACAGAGAUAGAAUACUGGAGAUUAAUUACUUUAUUG